GCUACUUUUAUAUGCUUAAAUAAUACCUUUAGAAUACUUGUUAACAUUUUUAUAUUUUUUAAUGGUGACAUUAAUAAAAAUAGUGACUCACACCCUAAUCAAAGGUUCCCACCUAUUUUCUACCUGCCAUGUGUCCUUUGAUUCUUCUCUCUCCCACAAUCUAUUUUCUUCCAAUCUUAUCUCUCUUCUCAUCCUUAUAUUUUUGGCUGUAGAAGCAAACCUAUGAUCAAGUCUUUGUUGUUUUUAUUGCUGAUGAUGCAAGGGACUUUGCUUCUCUUUUCCAUCUUUCUAAAAUGCAAUCUCCAUGUCACUUUUGUCCACUAUAUCCAAAAAAAGUCAUAUUUGUCAAUUAUCCAAAAAAGAAAGACUUGUACAAAUUCCAAUUCAAACAAGAAAAGAAAACGUGUGUUAAAAAUAAGUGAUGAAAUCUAUUACCAGCCUUUUUCUAAAAAACAAAUCAAUUAGGUUGUUAAGUAAAAUUAUAUCACG
This 489-nucleotide long non-coding RNA is filed under the name Medicago truncatula (barrel medic). RNAcentral's name for it is "long non-coding RNA (MTRU_LNC008398)". Lineage: Eukaryota; Viridiplantae; Streptophyta; Magnoliopsida; Fabales; Fabaceae. The record is from RNAcentral.